GGGCCGAUCGUCUAAAUGGUUAGGACGCCUGCCUGACACGCAGGAGGUUGUCGGUUCGAGUCCGACUCGGCCCA
This 74-nucleotide transfer RNA is filed under the name Candidatus Bathyarchaeota archaeon. RNAcentral describes it as "tRNA-Val". It matches the Rfam family "tRNA". From Rfam's summary of the family: Transfer RNA (tRNA) molecules are approximately 80 nucleotides in length. Their secondary structure includes four short double-helical elements and three loops (D, anti-codon, and T loops). Further hydrogen bonds mediate the characteristic L-shaped molecular structure. tRNAs have two regions of fundamental functional importance: the anti-codon, which is responsible for specific mRNA codon recognition, and the 3' end, to which the tRNAs corresponding amino acid is attached (by aminoacyl-tRNA synthetases). tRNAs cope with the degeneracy of the genetic code in two manners: having more than one tRNA (with a specific anti-codon) for a particular amino acid; and 'wobble' base-pairing, i.e. permitting non-standard base-pairing at the 3rd anti-codon position. The record is from RNAcentral. Lineage: Archaea; Thermoproteati; Candidatus Bathyarchaeota.